Long non-coding RNA from Sorghum bicolor (sorghum), 354 nucleotides. RefSeq lists it as uncharacterized. The transcript has 3 exons. Lineage: Eukaryota; Viridiplantae; Streptophyta; Magnoliopsida; Poales; Poaceae. The record is from RefSeq and is a predicted model, not a curated record.
UAUGCACAAAUUUGUACUAUCAAAGGAAGAUAGAGCAAAGAUAGAGGAAGACAAAACACCAGAAGAAGUUGCAGAAGCUAUAAAAGAGUUGCAAAGAAAAUACGAGGAUAAUUAUGCCCUCUAUCUUGGUAGAUCAAUGCUGAGGUAUAAGUAUAGGGAUUUUAUAUUGGCACCUUACAACUUUAGUGACCAUUGGAUUGUUUUUUAUAUUUAUCCCUUCGAAGGGAAGGUGCUUGUCCUAGACUCUUUACAUGUUCCUCCCGAGAAGUAUCAACCAUUCUUGGUUCAAUUAGAAAGGGCAUGGCGGUUUUAUAAGAAACAAAAGGGACCGGUCGACGCCGCAUGCUCAGAUCU